Molecule: non-coding RNA, 23 nt
Filed under: Cricetulus griseus (Chinese hamster)
Lineage: Eukaryota; Metazoa; Chordata; Mammalia; Rodentia; Cricetidae
Source: RNAcentral
UGUAUUUGCUUGUCGACUUUGGG